RNAcentral lists this ribosomal RNA (253 nucleotides) under uncultured bacterium. RNAcentral describes it as "partial 16S ribosomal RNA". It matches the Rfam family "Bacterial small subunit ribosomal RNA", at positions 524 to 776 of the family's 1533-position model. The record is from RNAcentral.
GACGAACCGUGCGAACGUUGUUCGGAAUCACUGGGCUUAAAGGGCGCGUAGGCGGGCUGCCGAGUCCGGGGUGAAAUCCUCCCGCUCAACGGGAGAACGGCCCCGGGUACUGGCGGCCUCGAGGCGGGUAGGGGCGUGCGGAACACUGGGUGGAGCGGUGAAAUGCGUUGAUAUCCAGUGGAACUCCGGUGGCGAAGGCGGCGCGCUGGACCCGUCCUGACGCUGAGGCGCGAAAGCCAGGGGAGCGAACGGG